This 71-nucleotide transfer RNA is filed under the name Camelus bactrianus (Bactrian camel). It matches the Rfam family "tRNA". From Rfam's summary of the family: Transfer RNA (tRNA) molecules are approximately 80 nucleotides in length. Lineage: Eukaryota; Metazoa; Chordata; Mammalia; Artiodactyla; Camelidae. RNAcentral also lists the same sequence under 1 other name. The record is from Rfam by way of RNAcentral.
GAGGGUAUAGCUCAGUGGUGGAGCACAUGCUUAGCAUGCAUGACGUCGUGGGUUCAAUCCCCAGACCUCCA